ACGGGUGAGUAAUGCCUAGGAAUCUGCCUGGUAGUGGGGGAUAACGCUCGGAAACGGACGCUAAUACCGCAUACGUCCUACGGGAGAAAGCAGGGGACCUUCGGGCCUUGCGCUAUCAGAUGAGCCUAGGUCGGAUUAGCUAGUUGGUGAGGUAAUGGCUCACCAAGGCGACGAUCCGUAACUGGUCUGAGAGGAUGAUCAGUCACACUGGAACUGAGACACGGUCCAGACUCCUACGGGAGGCAGCAGUGGGGAAUAUUGGACAAUGGGCGAAAGCCUGAUCCAGCCAUGCCGCGUGUGUGAAGAAGGUCUUCGGAUUGUAAAGCACUUUAAGUUGGGAGGAAGGGCAGUUACCUAAUACGUAUCUGUUUUGACGUUACCGACAGAAUAAGCACCGGCUAACUCUGUGCCAGCAGCCGCGGUAAUACAGAGGGUGCAAGCGUUAAUCGGAAUUACUGGGCGUAAAGCGCGCGUAGGUGGUUUGUUAAGUUGGAUGUGAAAUCCCCGGGCUCAACCUGGGAACUGCAUUCAAAACUGACAAGCUAGAGUAUGGUAGAGGGUGGUGGAAUUUCCUGUGUAGCG
Molecule: ribosomal RNA, 582 nt
Filed under: uncultured Pseudomonas sp.
Lineage: Bacteria; Pseudomonadati; Pseudomonadota; Gammaproteobacteria; Pseudomonadales; Pseudomonadaceae
Description: bacterial SSU rRNA
Rfam family: Bacterial small subunit ribosomal RNA
Source: RNAcentral